This 253-nucleotide ribosomal RNA is filed under the name uncultured bacterium. Its description in RNAcentral is "partial 16S ribosomal RNA". It matches the Rfam family "Bacterial small subunit ribosomal RNA", at positions 524 to 776 of the family's 1533-position model. The record is from RNAcentral.
UACAGAGGUCUCAAGCGUUGUUCGGAUUCAUUGGGCGUAAAGGGUGCGUAGGUGGCGCCGUAAGUCAGGUGUGAAAUCUCGGGGUUUAACCCCGAAACUGCAUUUGAUACUGCGGUGCUCGAGUACUGGAGAGGAGAUUGGAAUUUACGGUGUAGCAGUGAAAUGCGUAGAUAUCGUAAGGAAGACCAGUGGCGAAGGCGGGUCUCUGGACAGUUCCUGACACUGAGACACGAAGGCCAGGGGAGCAAACGGG